Long non-coding RNA from Gallus gallus (chicken), 2525 nucleotides. RefSeq lists it as uncharacterized. The record is from RefSeq and is a predicted model, not a curated record. Lineage: Eukaryota; Metazoa; Chordata; Aves; Galliformes; Phasianidae. The transcript has 4 exons.
ACCGCCCCUAGCGGCCAUUUUAGGUAUCCGCAGUAGUGGUGCUGUGCUAUGGUCGUGGACGGCGCGGGUUCCUUUUGUCCAGGUUUUUUGGCCGUGAAGCAUGAGGUGACAACGUCCCUGAGAUGUGGUGUGGCACAUCUCACUGAGUGCCAUGAUGAGCUCUGGCACCGGGCUUCAAAGUAAAACAAUGCAAAGCAAAGCAGAAGGAGAAGUGCUUGCAGCUGCCCCAGCAAAGAGUGGCUGGGGCACGGUCCUGCGUGAGGGCAAGUCCGUACUCCAGCUCGUAGGAAGCUUCCUCCACUCACAACAGAGGAGACAAAAUGCCCGGAGAAAGUGAGAAAUCAAAGUCAGGGAUGGGAAUAAAAGCAACAGAGACUUUGCUUGUACAAAACCAGCCCAGCACAAGGAAGUUAUCAGCAGCGGUGGACAUAGCCAGAGGAGCAAGGACAGUCAGAAAACCUGCUGGUCAAGUGGCAGCCCGGCUGUACCUCCUAGCUUACGUCCUUUUCGGGUAAUGAAAGAAGCUACAGUUUCUUAAAGGAAGGACAGAGGAACAUCCUCUUCAGACUGACACAAAAAGGGUUAAAGUGAGAACAGCCUGGGCUGAGCUCUGCUCCUCUUUGCAUCUGGACUUGCAUAAAAUCAAACCGGGCCAGCAGUUUGUCUACUCCAACUAAAAUGUAAAUGGAAAAUGUGCAAUACAUGCAUUAAAAAAAAACAAAAACAAAACAAAACAAAACAAACAAACAAAAAAAAAAAAACCAAAAAACAAAAACCAAAAAAACAGUGCAGGAGGCGUUUAUGCGUGUCUCACAGUGAGGUUGUAGCCAGCAGUGCAGAAGAAUGAAUCUUCAUUUUCUGCUCGUUUCUUUCAAGUACCUUGUUUCUGUUUAGAAAGCAAAGUGUUAAGUAUUUGCAAAUACAACAGCCCUGCAAACAUGCUAGCUUACAACUUCUCCCCAGCUGUGUCUUUAAUGACCUUGGACAUUAGAGAACAUUUACUGAGAGGGGAUGUUGCCCAGGCCACUGGGGUUAUCUGCUGCCCUCUCUGAGCACAUUCCCUCCAAUAGCUGACCUAGCUGAGUUAGGAGGAGGAAUGGGUUUCAACAGCGCUACAAACAGUGUUGAUGCUACAGAGGCAGAGGGGCUUCUGAGAUUAGCAUCUGUAUUUAUGGUGCUGAGUAAAGCCAAGUCAAACUUGAAGGUAAAGACACUAGUUAAUAUUUUAAGUAAGUCCCAAAUUAGCUGCAAAACUAACAGGAAUGCUUUCUUAGUAUUGGCAGCUUUGAAGUACUCUGGAACAGUUUGGUACACCUCCAUUGGGCUCAUUGGAGAGCUUGUGAGGUGAGUGUGGCUCAUUCAGUUACGUGUACACAGGGUUGGAAUCCCAAAUAAUGAGCAGAAUUGUUGUCUACAGUAAUGCGUAAGAAAAAGUAUACGUGAUGGAACCCAGUCAGAGCUGAAGUUCCUAGCAGUGUGCUUGGCCACGAUAACCAGCAAAGGAUAAAAAUAAUAUGUGUUUAAUACUAGGAAUUCUCUGUUUCGGGUAGCACUAGGGGAUCUGUGAAGGACUGAGACAUCUUUGUUUUAUGCAGAACAUCCCUGCAGGAUGAAAAUCUCCUGUCUUUUAAAGGCGUUCUCUUCUGAAGCAGUUCGUUGUCCCUGGUAGCAUCUGUCCUCCUCAGGCCCUGGUGUCAUCCUCUGAGAAGCACACACCUCACGUUCCCAGGCCAGGAAGCAAGCAGUCUGUUGCCUUCUCUUCUUUCUUGCCAUGAAACCAUCAUGCUUCUGGCCUUCUUUGCUCAUCCCCAUGGGUUUCGCUGCUGGUGACUGUCUGCAACAGCUUGCAGCAGGAGGACUACGUCCAAGUGAAAGCCGGCAAUGAGCGGUGUCCCCCGGGAGUCUGUCUUUAGACCUUACUCUUUGACAUCGUUAUCAGUGACGUAGACGAGGGGGUUCAGUGCACCCUCAGCAAGCUUGCAGUCGACACCAAGCUGGUGCAGUUAGGACGACAAAAGGAAGGGAUGCUGUCCAUCGGUGGCUGAACGAGCUUGAAAGAUGGGCGCAUGUGAAUCCAAUGAGGUUUCCCAAGGCCAUGUUCAAGGUAUUGCACUUGGGUCAGGGCAGUUCCAUAUAUGAGUACAGACUGGAAGAAGAACUCCUUGAGAACAGUCCUGCUCAGAAAGACUUAGAGUCCCGAUAGAUUAAAAAGCUAAUGUGAGCGAGCAGUGUGUGCCCGCAGCCCAGAAGGUCAACAGUAUCCUGGGCUGCUUCAGGAGAGGAAUGACCAGCAGGGAGGGGGAGGGUAUUAUCCCUCUCUACUCUGCCUUCAUGACGUCCCAGCUGGAGUACUGUGUCCAGCUCUGGGGCCCCCAGUACAGCAGGGAUGCAGAAAUGUUGGAGCAGGUCCAGAGGAGGGCCACAAAGAUGAUCAAAGGGCUAUGGAGGUAGAAACAGCAACCCCAACUGCCUUGUCUAUAAAAAAGACUUUUUUAUUAAAACAAAUUAUUUUUAUCUUCUCUCCG